AGGGCGUAUGGGGAAUGCCUAGGCACACUCCGGCGAAGAAGGACGCAGCAAACAGCGAAAUGCGACGGUGAGCGGUAAGCACGUGAAGAGCCGUCGAUAUCCGAAUGGGGGAACCCACACGGAGUCAUAUCCGUGUAUCACAUGUCGAAUACAUAGACAUGAUGAGGCGAGACGCAGGGAACUGAAACAUCUAAGUACCUGCAGGAAGAGAAAAUAAGAAUGAUUUUCUGAGUAGCGGCGAGCGAAAGGGAAAGAGCCCAAACCGAUUUGAGGAUCGGGGUAGUAGGAUCAUCGAUAAAUCAAACAGAGGAUCAUAGAGGAAUCACAUGGGAAGGUGAGCGAGAGAGGGUGAGAGCCCCGUACUCGAAAUGAGAGACUGGAGAGAGAUGACACCUGAGUAGGGCGGGACACGAGAAAUCCUGUCUGAAUCAGCCGGGACCAUCCGGCAAGGCUAAAUACGAGAGAGUGACCGAUAGUGAACCAGUACCGUGAGGGAAAGGUGAAAAGAACCCCGGGAGGGGAGUGAAAGAGAACCUGAAACCAUAUGCCUACAAGAAGUCAGAGCCCGUUAAAGGGUGAUGGCGUGCCUUUUGUAGAAUGAACCGGCGAGUUACUGUAUGGAGCGAGGUUAAGCAGGAUAUGCGGAGCCGAAGCGAAAGCGAGUCUUAAGAGGGCGCGAGUUGCAUGCAGUAGACCCGAAACCGGGUGAUCUAGCCAUGACCAGGUUGAAGUUGGGGUAAAACCCGAUGGAGGACCGAACCGACCCCCGUUGAAACGUUGGCGGAUGAGUUGUGGCUAGGGGUGAAAUUCCAAUCGAACCCGGAGAUAGCUGGUUCUCCCCGAAAUAGCUUUAGGGCUAGCGUCGAGGUAAGAGUUGCGUGAAGGUAGAGCACUGAAUAUGUGAUGGCCCCAUCUCGGGGUACUGAGCAUAAUCAAACUGCGAAUGUCACGCCAACAUGCUCGGCAGUCAGACAGCGGGUGAUAAGGUCCGUUGUCAAGAGGGAAACAGCCCAGACCAUCAGCUAAGGUCCCAAAAUGUAUGCUAAGUGGAAAAGGAUGUGGAGAUGUACAGACAACUAGGAGGUUGGCUCAGAAGCAGCCAUCCUUUAAAGAGUGCGUAACAGCUCACUAGUCGAAUGACUCUGCGCCGAUAAUUUACCGGGGCUAAGCAUACUACCGAAGCUAUGGAUCCCAAGGGAUGGUAGGGGAGCGUUCCAUGAACGGAGAAGUACGACCGAAAGGACGUGUGGAGAUCAUGGAAGAGAGAAUGCCGGUGUGAGUAGCGGAACGUGGGUGAGAAUCCCACGCACCGAAAACCCAAGGUUUCCAGAGGAAGGUUCGUCCGCUCUGGGUAAGUCGGGACCUAAGGCGAGGCCGAAAGGCGUAGUCGAUGGACAACAGGUAGAGAUUCCUGUACCCGUAUAUAUGUGAAGGAAUGACGGAGAGAGGAAGCUGCAGCCAGCGGCUGGAAGAGCUGGUGCAAGCGAGAUAUCGGGAUGGCAGGCAAAUCCACCAUCCGAAACGAGAAGGCGUGAAGCGUACGGAAAGCUACGGCGAGUACGGAAGGCAGUGGAGGAACUUCCAAGAAAAGUUUCUAACGUUAAGUAUAUAUGGCCCGUACCGAAAAUGGACACACAUGGGUGAGGAGAGAAUCCUAAGGUGAGCGAGAGAACUAUAGCUAAGGAACUCUGCAAAAUGACUCCGUAACUUAGGGAGAAGGAGUGCUCAUAGAGAUAUGAGCCGCAGUGAAACGGCCCAAGCGACUGUUUACCAAAAACACAGCUCUCUGCUAAGCCGCAAGGCGAAGUAUAGGGGGUGACGCCUGCCCGGUGCUGGAAGGUUAAGGGGAGGGGUUAACGCAAGUGAAGCCCUGAACUGAAGCCCCAGUAAACGGCGGCCGUAACUAUAACGGUCCUAAGGUAGCGAAAUUCCUUGUCAGGUAAGUUCUGACCCGCACGAAAGGCGUAACGAUUUGGGCGCUGUCUCAGCUGUAGACUCGGUGAAGUCUUAGUACCUGUGAAGAUGCAGGUUACCCGCGACUAGACGGAAAGACCCCAUGGAGCUUCACUGCAGGUUGAUAUUGGGAUUUGAUGCAGCAUGUACAGGAUAGGUAGGAGGCAAAGAGAUGGAUACGCCAGUAUUCAAGGAGCCGCUGUUGGGAUACUACCCCUGUUGUAUUGGAUUUCUAACCGGACGACGUAGAGCCGUUGACGGGACAGUGUCAGUCGGGCAGUUUGACUGGGGCGGUCGCCUCCCAAAGAGUAACGGAGGCGCCCAAAGAUACCCUCAGCUUGGAUGGAAACCAAGCGCAGAGUGCAAAGGCAAAAGGGUGUUUGACUGCGAGA
This 2345-nucleotide ribosomal RNA is filed under the name human gut metagenome. RNAcentral describes it as "bacterial LSU rRNA". It matches the Rfam family "Bacterial large subunit ribosomal RNA", at positions 14 to 2380 of the family's 2925-position model. The record is from RNAcentral.